Molecule: long non-coding RNA, 246 nt
Filed under: Trifolium pratense (red clover)
Lineage: Eukaryota; Viridiplantae; Streptophyta; Magnoliopsida; Fabales; Fabaceae
Description: long non-coding RNA (TPRA_LNC012811)
Source: RNAcentral
AUUCACUUCAAAAACAAACACCAUUUUUUUGUGUCUCAAUUUCCAAAGUACAGUACUGUAACAUUUUUAUCAAACAAAAAGAGCAUGAAACUAAACCCCUCUUUAAGAACACUCACCAACACUUCAAUAAACCCAAUUCUCAGACUUAAACAUUAUUAUUCCGUUGCAAUCAAUACCAAGAAAACCCCAUUAUGUUACACUGAAUGUGAUCCUCACAUUGCACAAUACCUGUUUGAUAAAACUCCU